GUGGGGAAUAUUGCACAAUGGGCGAAAGCCUGAUGCAGCAACGCCGCGUGAAGGAAGAAGGGUUUCGGCUCGUAAACUUCUAUCAACAGGGACGAAAAAAAUGACGGUACCUGAAUAAGAAGCCCCGGCUAACUACGUGCCAGCAGCCGCGGUAAUACGUAGGGGGCAAGCGUUAUCCGGAAUUACUGGGUGUAAAGGGAGAGUAGGCGGCAUGGUAAGUUAGAUGUGAAAGCCCGAGGCUUAACCUCGGGAUUGCAUUUAAAACUAUCAAGCUAGAGUACAGGAGAGGUAAGUGGAAUUCCUAGUGUAGCGGUGAAAUGCGUAGAUAUUAGGAAGAACACCAGUGGCGAAGGCGACUUACUGGACUGAAACUGACGCUGAGGCUCGAAAGCGUGGGGAGCGAACAGGAUUAGAAACCCGAGUAGUCC
Molecule: ribosomal RNA, 428 nt
Filed under: uncultured bacterium
Lineage: Bacteria
Description: partial 16S ribosomal RNA
Rfam family: Bacterial small subunit ribosomal RNA
Source: RNAcentral